This is a long non-coding RNA of Lutzomyia longipalpis, 1848 nucleotides long. RefSeq lists it as uncharacterized. The transcript has 3 exons. Lineage: Eukaryota; Metazoa; Arthropoda; Insecta; Diptera; Psychodidae. The record is from RefSeq and is a predicted model, not a curated record.
UUGUGAAAAUUCCAGAAAAGCAGUGAAAAACCCAAAAUUUUCACUGAAGGAAUUAAUUGAAAGUGUUGUGCGGAGUGUGAACUUCGUGCGAGCAACAGUGAAAUCUUGGAAAUUUUCCUUAUUUUCACGUGUUAGCCACUGCCUUACGUUUCCGGAAGCUCCUCAUAUUCCUAUAAGGAAAAUAAGUCUGGAAUUCAUUCCAGCAUACGAAGGAGGAAAGGAUUCAAUUCUACCAACUAUCCUGCCACCAUAGCCUUCGAACCGGAUGUGCUAAAAUCAUAAAUUCUUUUAUUUCUUAUUUCUUUUAGUUAUUUAUUUCUUACCUUCAAGGUACCUGUGAAAACUAAUAAAUUCUUUAUGGUUUAUAUUUUAAGGUACGCAGAGUACGACGAGAAAGAGCAAGAGGACGAUAUCAUCUUAAAUAGAAUUUUCAUUCUAUUCUUUCAAGGGUAUUUAGGCACCAGAAGGACCUAAAGGCAUUUUCUGGCUACGCAUCUGAGGUCUAAGAUGGGAUAUCUGAUUGGAAAAUACAGAUUCAUGUUGGGAGACACGAAAAGGUAAUAUUCUGCAGAUUCCUUGGCACUAGUCCACUGAGAGGAGACGUAGAGUGAGAGAUCCUUUUUUGGGGGUUGUUGAAAAACUUUGCUCUUUGAUAUGAAUUCCACAAAGACGCGUAUUCAUGUGAGAUUGCUGCCCCCUCCCCCUCUUGCAGAGGACGUGCACGUGAGAUUUAUGAGGCACCAAAAGGUGCGAUGAUGCUCCUUAUUAGAGGCUCAAUGUGAUGGUGUUGGUAAAGAAAAAGGAGUUAUAAUAAUUAAUGGCAACACAACGUCCCGUGAAGGUGGAGCAUCUCCAAAAGAAGUGCGUCACUCCACGAGUGAUUUAAGUUAAUUAAAAAUAUGAUAAUGAAGACGCACCAGAAAAUCCAACAGGGCACGCGGGAUGAAACGGAAAAACUCAUUCAGAAUAAUAAAUAUGUAAUUUCACCUCGAGAGUGGUGUGGACCAACCCUGUGGGAUUUGUCACACCAAUGAAAUGUUUAUCAUUUUCCACGUGGGCUCCGUGGAGGUCGAGAUGAUUGAAAAUUCACCAGAUAUUCCGGGGCACGUCGUGACGAUUUUAUGUCUCUGGCCUUAUGGUCGUUUUUUUCUCUCUCUCUCUCUCUGCCAUCUCCUCCUCAUCUUGCCAUAUCCUGCGGAGUAUAGGACUUGACUAUGUACGAUGGGGUUGGGGGUGGAAGGUUUUUGUGGCUAUAAAACAGAAAAAUGCAAUUUGGUAGCGAGAAAAUCAACCCCUUUCGCUCUACUACAAAAUCCCCUGCAGAAUUCUUGGAGGAAAAAACCUUGUCGCUCUGGGUGUGUCAUCCGAGAUGAAUUCAUCGAGAAUUCAGCACCUUAAUCAAUUUUUCACGUGCCUUUCGACCGAGGAAGUGUUUUUCCACACACACCACCAGCCACCACCAGCCACCACCCGCCACCAACAGCCACCAUCAGGAGCCCCACAGAAAUAAAGUCAACAAUUUAGACGCCCCCAGUGUGGAAGGAAAACUCCGGGGGUGUCAUGAAUGAAUUUAUGCAGAAAACAUCGUCUUUUUCGCGAAACAACCCCACACUCUCAAGAAAAAAAAAAAACAAGGGGAUGAUAUCUGGCACACUUUAGGGGAAAAUGUUGAAUAUAUGCCCAUUGCCCAAUUCUCCAUGAUUUAUUCAUUUUUAGGGCUGAAAAUCAACAAUAUAUUUACUAUAGAUUUCCAUUUAAGGGAGAAAUUGUUUUUUUUCUAAUUCUUUAUUAAUUUCUUUGAAAAGUCCAUGGCCCAAUAGAUAGAUCCAAAAGGUUGCCAGUUCGAGU